GGGGAAUAUUGGACAAUGGGCGAAAGCCUGAUCCAGCCACGCCGCGUGAGUGAUGAAGGCCUUCGGGUCGUAAAGCUCUGUGGGGAGGGACGAACGGCGCCGUGAAGAACGGCGAUUGACGGUACCUCCUUAGCAAGCACCGGCUAACUUCGUGCCAGCAGCCGCGGUAAUACGAAGGGUGCAAACGUUGCUCGGAAUCAUUGGGCGUAAAGCGCACGUAGGCGGCUCCGUAAGUCGGAUGUGAAAUCCCUCGGCUUAACCGAGGACGUGCAUCCGAAACUGUGGAGCUUGAGUAUGGAAGAGGGUCGCAGAAUUCCCGGUGUAGAGGUGAAAUUCGUAGAUAUCGGGAGGAAUACCAGUGGCGAAGGCGGCGACCUGGGCCAAUACUGACGCUGAGGUGCGAAAGCGUGGGGAGCAAAC
Molecule: ribosomal RNA, 420 nt
Filed under: uncultured bacterium
Lineage: Bacteria
Description: bacterial SSU rRNA
Rfam family: Bacterial small subunit ribosomal RNA
Source: RNAcentral